This 426-nucleotide ribosomal RNA is filed under the name uncultured Actinomycetes bacterium. RNAcentral describes it as "bacterial SSU rRNA". It matches the Rfam family "Bacterial small subunit ribosomal RNA", at positions 958 to 1385 of the family's 1533-position model. The record is from RNAcentral. Lineage: Bacteria; Bacillati; Actinomycetota; Actinomycetes.
AACGCGAAGAACCUUACCAAGGUUUGACAUGGCCGGAAAAGCAUCAGAGAUGGUGUGUCCUUCGGGGUCGGUCACAGGUGGUGCAUGGCUGUCGUCAGCUCGUGUCGUGAGAUGUUGGGUUAAGUCCCGCAACGAGCGCAACCCUCGUCCUAUGUUGCCAGCGGGUAAUGCCGGGGACUCAUGGGAGACUGCCGGGGUCAACUCGGAGGAAGGUGGGGAUGACGUCAAGUCAUCAUGCCCCUUAUGUCUUGGGCUGCAAACAUGCUACAAUGGCCGGUACAGAGGGCUGCGAGACCGCGAGGUUAAGCGAAUCCCGGAAAGCCGGUCUCAGUUCGGAUCGGGGUCUGCAACUCGGCCCCGUGAAGCUGGAGUCGCUAGUAAUCGCGGAUCAGCAACGCCGCGGUGAAUACGUUCCCGGGCCUUGUA